Non-coding RNA from Acanthosepion pharaonis, 110 nucleotides. The record is from the annotation of a GenBank genome assembly. NCBI's taxonomy places the organism in Eukaryota, Metazoa, Mollusca, Cephalopoda, Sepiida, Sepiidae.
GGCUAUAUCAGGUUGAAGAAUCGGUUCUUGUACGAUCACAGAAGUUAAGCAACUUCGAGCCUCGGCAGUACCUAGACGCGUGACCGUUUAGGAAUACCAAGUGCUGUAAG